Amborella trichopoda is the source of this 1461-nucleotide RNA transcript. It is a transcript of the gene named receptor-like protein 44, with no coding region annotated. The record is from RefSeq and is a predicted model, not a curated record. Lineage: Eukaryota; Viridiplantae; Streptophyta; Magnoliopsida; Amborellales; Amborellaceae.
AUUAUAUUAUAUUAUUCCAACACCAAUCCCAUAUGCUCCAUUCUUUCGCUCACCACCCGUCCAGAACCUCGCCGGAGAAAACCCCAAACCCACCGGGAAACCCUAGAAAAUCGGCGGGGACCCCAACAAUUCGCCGAAAAACCGCCACUAAUGGAGACCCUCACCUUCUUCUUUGUCCUUCUCUUGUUGGGUCUCGCCAUUUCAGACCCAGACGACCAAGCCUGCCUGUCUAGCCUGAAACAAAACUUUCAAGACCCAAAAGGAAGGCUCGCUCAUUGGACCCAGAAGGCUUUAGCCUCUCCCUGUAAUGGCGUCACCUCUUCCCUUGAAGGGGUUACCUGCAACAAUGAUCGCAUAUACAAGCUAACCCUUGUGAACUUCAAUCUUGGGGGAACGAUUUCACCCUUUAUAUCGAACUGUACAAGUCUCCAGACCCUUGAUCUAUCGCAAAAUCAAAUCUCCGGCCAGAUUCCGGCGGAGUUGCAAAGCCUAGUGAACUUAGCAGUCUUAAACUUGUCGGAAAAUAAACUUUCCGGCCAGAUUCCGGCACAACUCGCUCUCUGUGCUUACCUUAAUGUCAUAGACCUCCACAUAAACCAACUCUCUGGUUUGAUUCCUCAACAGUUGGGUCUUCUUGUUCGAUUGAGCUCUUUUGAUGUCUCUUAUAACAGGCUUUCAGGGCCUAUUCCUGUUCUUUUGGCGAAUAAAUCAGGGGGUAUACAGAGAUUUAAUGCGAGUUCAUUUAUGGGGAAUAAGGAUUUGUAUGGCUUUCCAUUGCCUCCUGCUAAAAAUAGGAGCUUAUCAGUAAUAGCGAUUGUUUUGAUUGGGUUGGGGAGUGGGUUCUUGAGCUUGGUUGUGAGCUUUACUGCUGUUUGUAUAUGGUUGAGGGUUACAGAGCAAGGAAUGGCCGCUGAGGAAGGGAAAAUCAGUCAAUUGAUGCCUGAUUAUUAAUUGGGUUUUGGAGUUGCAGACAAAAAAACAGAGGUUUCUAUUCUCUCUCCUCUAUUUCUCAAGUUUUUUUUUUUUCAGGUUGUAUCUUGUUCGUGUUGGUGGGGCGUUGGGGGCAAGAAAAAGGUCAAUUUUUACUCUAAUUUUCUGAAGGUUUUUUCAUGGUUUGGUUAUGUUUCUCCGGUGGUUUCUGGGAGUUGCAGAGAUGAAAGAGGAAGGAUCAGAUGAAGAGAUUCAAAUUUCUUUGACGAUUGUAUGCUUAACAAUUCCGUGGUCACAAUGAUUCUGGUUCGCUCUCUGGUGAUUAACAGUGUAUACUAAUACUAUAUUAUAUUUUUGUAGCAACUAUUUCAUUUUUUGUUUUCCUCUUUUGCUUUUGCUUUUAUUAAUUUCACAGUAAUGUAAUUGAACUAUGUAGCAUUUGGUUCUUCUUGUGCCCUUAAAUUGGGUUUUCUUCUUCUUAACAGUGUAUACUAAUAUCACUUUUCUUGGAAGGAAGAAUUCUUUUGUUAA